This 253-nucleotide ribosomal RNA is filed under the name uncultured bacterium. Its description in RNAcentral is "partial 16S ribosomal RNA". It matches the Rfam family "Bacterial small subunit ribosomal RNA", at positions 524 to 776 of the family's 1533-position model. The record is from RNAcentral.
UACGUAGGUGGCAAGCGUUGUCCGGAUUUAUUGGGUUUAAAGGGUGCGUAGGCGGUCUUAUAAGUCAGUGCUGAAAUAUCCCGGCUUAGCCGGGAGGGUGGCAUUGAUGCUGUAGGACUUGAGUAAAGUUGAGGUUGGCGGAAUUGACGGUGUAGCGGUGAAAUGCUUAGAUAUCGUCAAGAACACCUAGAGCGAAGGCAGCUAACUAAACUUUAACUGACGCUGAGGCACGAAAGUGUGGGGAUCAAACAGG